Molecule: transfer RNA, 82 nt
Filed under: Dendronephthya gigantea
Lineage: Eukaryota; Metazoa; Cnidaria; Anthozoa; Malacalcyonacea; Nephtheidae
Description: tRNA-Ser
Rfam family: tRNA
About the family: Transfer RNA (tRNA) molecules are approximately 80 nucleotides in length. Their secondary structure includes four short double-helical elements and three loops (D, anti-codon, and T loops). Further hydrogen bonds mediate the characteristic L-shaped molecular structure. tRNAs have two regions of fundamental functional importance: the anti-codon, which is responsible for specific mRNA codon recognition, and the 3' end, to which the tRNAs corresponding amino acid is attached (by aminoacyl-tRNA synthetases). tRNAs cope with the degeneracy of the genetic code in two manners: having more than one tRNA (with a specific anti-codon) for a particular amino acid; and 'wobble' base-pairing, i.e. permitting non-standard base-pairing at the 3rd anti-codon position.
Source: RNAcentral
GUAGUCGUGGCCGAGUGGUUAAGGCGACAGACUUGAAAUCUGUUGAGAUAUUCCCGCGCAGGUUCAAAUCCUGCCGACUAAG